GACGAACGCUGGCGGCGUGCCUAAUACAUGCCAGUAGAACGCUGAAGAGAGGAGCUUGCUCUUCUUGGAUGAGUUGCGAACGGGUGAGUAACGCGUAGGUAACCUGCCUGGUAGCGGGGGAUAACUAUUGGAAACGAUAGCUAAUACCGCAUAAAAUGGAUUAUCGCAUGAUAAUCCAUUGAAAGGUGCAAAUGCAUCACUACCAGAUGGACCUGCGUUGUAUUAGCUAGUUGGUGGGGUAACGGCUCACCAAGGCGACGAUACAUAGCCGACCUGAGAGGGUGAUCGGCCACACUGGGACUGAGACACGGCCCAGACUCCUACGGGAGGCAGCAGUAGGGAAUCUUCGGCAAUGGACGGAAGUCUGACCGAGCAACGCCGCGUGAGUGAAGAAGGUUUUCGGAUCGUAAAGCUCUGUUGUAAGAGAAGAACGAGUGUGAGAGUGGAAAGUUCACACUGUGACGGUAUCUUACCAGAAAGGGACGGCUAACUACGUG
Molecule: ribosomal RNA, 497 nt
Filed under: uncultured bacterium
Lineage: Bacteria
Description: partial 16S ribosomal RNA
Rfam family: Bacterial small subunit ribosomal RNA
Source: RNAcentral